This 557-nucleotide long non-coding RNA is filed under the name Oryza brachyantha (malo sina). RNAcentral's name for it is "long non-coding RNA (OBRA_LNC000626)". The record is from RNAcentral. Lineage: Eukaryota; Viridiplantae; Streptophyta; Magnoliopsida; Poales; Poaceae.
UCAGAUGAUAAUGCCGCUCCUAUAGACGUCACCAACCUCCCUUCAAUGAAUGAAGAGUAUACGAGUAAAAUUUUCCUUUGUCGACCCGGUAAAAUAUUGGGCUACAAUAUCUGUAGCAUUGAAAUGAUAAUUGCCACUAUUAACAUGCUAAGUUACAUAAUAUGUGAAGCCAUUCUUCAGUGACGCCCCUUUUAAUACGUCGAGAAGACUAGAUGAUUUUCUGCUUGAUCACUAUGUUCUUAUCUCCCAUAUGCUCUGAACAAUUUGUCCAAGCUCUCCAAUGCAGCAGUGUUCUUUUUCCUCUCACAAGUCACAUGCAAAAGACAAGUGCCCCCAAUUGACUGCUUUAACAUGAACCUGGUUCCUGAGCAGGUCUUGCUUUUGCUCUGUCUUGAUCUAACUAGAGACACUGACACCCAUGAAUUCAAAUCCAAUUGCAAAAUACAUAAUCGACUGGGGCAGAACAAAAAAUACAUAAUCGACUGGGGCAGAACAAAGAUGUAAAAACUAUCAUCUCUGUACAGGUAGUCGUAGCAUGCAGAUAUCAGAAGCAGCCC